Long non-coding RNA from Sinocyclocheilus anshuiensis, 236 nucleotides. RefSeq lists it as uncharacterized. The transcript is spliced from 3 exons. Lineage: Eukaryota; Metazoa; Chordata; Actinopteri; Cypriniformes; Cyprinidae. The record is from RefSeq and is a predicted model, not a curated record.
AGACUUAGCGGUUGUUUUUAGCCAUCGCUCACUAUUCUGAUUUGCCAGACUGUUUAUUGAUAGAGUUUUUCUGCGAUGGCAUAAAUCAACCGCUUAAGUCUAAACUUAGACGCGAGGGCCCACGUUCAUCACUCGCUCAGUUUAUGGAUUAUGCUUUGUUAGCUGUCGGGUCUUUGUUUACUGUGGGUGUCGCGGAGGAAGAAUGCGACACAGUGUCUGUGACUGAAAUGGCGGCU